UCAGAGUUCAGCCUCAGCUUCAGCCGAUAAUCUUCACUUCUUCAGUCUUCAGUCUUCAGUGGCCGAUGCCCUUGUCACUCAAACCUAGGUCCGAAACACCGACUACUGUUAAAACUCCUCAAACUGCCUUACUCGAAUCCCUUUCUCUUCAGCCCUGUUUCUCCGUUGUUGUCCUUUUCUACCUUCGAGUAAAGGGACGCUGCCAAAAGGUCGCCUGACGCCACCGACGCCGGAGCCGGGUGGUUUAGCUAUCAAGGAGGACAACAAUUCAUAGAAGGUGAAAAAAACAAAGAAUGAAGAUGUCAAGUACAGGGGAUAAUACAGCUACUACAGCUGCAAGCCCAAAUGUUGAUCAUUCAUCAUCAAUGGAUCCAACUAUUGUUGCUAGAGCCUCUGAAACUGAGACAUGUCAAGUACCACCUCCUCCAACAUCCGAGACAAAAGUGUCUACCAAGAGCAGUAGGUCUUGGGUUUCGGAGCAUUAUGUAGUUGUUACAGCUUCUCGAUAAUUUGAUUUGGAAGAAAGUAUAACUGAACUUGAAGAAAUGGAAUCGGGUUUGACAGUGGAGCAUUCUAUUAUUAAUAUUGAAGAUUGAUGAUUCUUGAAGAUUGUGCUCCUUCAUGUGUUGUAGAAGAUUGAGGUUGUUGAAACUAACUGUCAUGGCAUGGCUAGGGGAGGAAAAUGAAGACAGCUUCUCGAUUUAUGCCUAUUGCCUAGUCAAUGCAUUAUGCCAUGUUUACUGGAUUUGAGAAUGUCUAUAUAGUGUACAUUUUUCUCAUUUAUAUGCCCUUUUUGGAAGUUAUGUAUCAGAGUAGAUAUUUCUAACUUUAUGAUUUGGUGUGGAACUACUGCUACUGAUCAUUUUUGAGAUUUGAAUAUGCUGUCUUUGUCUAGUUUGAAUGAUA
Molecule: long non-coding RNA, 906 nt
Organism: Coffea eugenioides
Lineage: Eukaryota; Viridiplantae; Streptophyta; Magnoliopsida; Gentianales; Rubiaceae
Exons: 4
Source: RefSeq, a predicted model, not a curated record